GUUCGUUCUAAGUUAUUCGAAGUUUAUAGUAAAUAUGAAACAAAGUAUGGCGGAGUUCGCCUGCAACGACCUCCACUAGCACCCACAACAAGUAAGAAGACGACAACGUGGGGAAAAAUAUUUGGUGCAGGUUCUUCAUCAAGAAGUUCAGACUCUUCGUCACGAUCGUCUACGGGCACCGGAAUUCCAACAUCCGGAGGGGAGCUAACUACCUUCAUCGACAGUGACGUUAUCAGCCACGAACAAGAAAACUUCAACAUACUGCAAUGUUUCUUCUGAGGCUGCCUUCAGUCUUACAGGAAGGAUAAUCGAAGAGAGAAGAACAAAUCUGUCAAGUGAGAUGGUUGAAAUACUCACCAUAGUAAAGGAUUGGGAACAAGCUGAAGCACGAAUGCAACACACUGCAGAAAAUACUGAGCUUGAAGAAUCAUUCCAAAAUUUGUAUCUAGAUGCUGAUGAGAACGUGUAAUUUUAAAUUUUCUGAGCUAGGUUGUACUCUUUUUUCCUUUGCUAGAAAGGUUUUUAAUGAGGCAACCUAUCAAUAAAGCUCAUUUUUAGAAUUAAUCAUGUGCCCCUAUUAUUUCUAAGUUUUUUUAUUCA
Molecule: long non-coding RNA, 600 nt
Organism: Phragmites australis (common reed)
Lineage: Eukaryota; Viridiplantae; Streptophyta; Magnoliopsida; Poales; Poaceae
Exons: 2
Source: RefSeq, a predicted model, not a curated record